UACGAAGGGGGCUAGCGUUGUUCGGAAUUACUGGGCGUAAAGCGUGCGCAGGCGGCUUCUCAAGUCAGGGGUGAAAGCCCAGAGCUCAACUCUGGAAUUGUCUUUGAGACUGAGUGGCUUGAGUACGGGAGAGGUGAGUGGAAUUCCCAGUGUAGAGGUGAAAUUCGUAGAUAUUGGGAAGAACACCGGUGGCGAAGGCGGCUCACUGGCCCGUAACUGACGCUCAUGCACGACAGCGUGGGGAUCAAACAGG
This 253-nucleotide ribosomal RNA is filed under the name uncultured bacterium. Its description in RNAcentral is "partial 16S ribosomal RNA". It matches the Rfam family "Bacterial small subunit ribosomal RNA", at positions 524 to 776 of the family's 1533-position model. The record is from RNAcentral.